Molecule: ribosomal RNA, 269 nt
Filed under: Vairimorpha bombi
Lineage: Eukaryota; Fungi; Microsporidia; Nosematidae
Description: Nosema bombi partial small subunit ribosomal RNA
Rfam family: Microsporidia small subunit ribosomal RNA
Source: RNAcentral
CUGAAAAAUGGACUGCUCAGUAAUACUCACUUUAUUUUAUGUGCACCGCAGAUAACUACGUUAAAGUGUAGAUAACAUGUGUACAGUAAGAGUGAGACCUAUCAGCUAGUUGUUAGGGUAAUGGCUUAACAAGGCAGUGACGGGUAACGGUAUUACUUUGUAAUAUUCCGGAGAAGGAGCCUGAGAGACGGCUACUAAGUCUAAGGAUUGCAGCAGGGGCGAAACUUGACCUAUGGAUUUUAUCUGAGGCAGUUAUGGGAAGUAAUAUA